UACGUAGGGUGCAAGCGUUAUCCGGAAUUAUUGGGCGUAAAGAGCUCGUAGGCGGUUUGUCGCGUCUGCUGUGAAAACUGGAGGCUCAACCUCCAGCCUGCAGUGGGUACGGGCAGACUAGAGUGCGGUAGGGGAGAUUGGAAUUCCUGGUGUAGCGGUGGAAUGCGCAGAUGUCAGGAGGAACACCGAUGGCGAAGGCAGAUCUCUGGGCCGUAACUGACGCUGAGGAGCGAAAGCGUGGGGAGCGAACAGG
Molecule: ribosomal RNA, 253 nt
Filed under: uncultured bacterium
Lineage: Bacteria
Description: partial 16S ribosomal RNA
Rfam family: Bacterial small subunit ribosomal RNA
Source: RNAcentral